GGAGAGCCGCAAGCGAAAGAGGGAGGUCUCCCGAAAAGUACAAGCGAUGAAAGAGGUUGUUGCCGCUGCUGCUCAGACGCCAAGUCGGGACUUGGUAGAAGUACCGAGCUCUCUGCGUUAACCUCAAGAGCAACCGACCUCGGAGGUAGAGGUCGUUACCUCUCCCCCUCGACAGAUCAAACCCCCACCACCUCCGGUCCCAAGUGCAAGAGAGGGCUCUUCUGGACCCGCCGCUAGGACGCUUUCCCGAGGUGCUCAGAUCCUCAUCCAAUCAUUGGAGAAGAAUCGUCCGUCUCACGGCAAUCCCGAUCUGGCCAAAGUCUUGAGCGCCACCCUCUGCUUUCACGAAGAUCGGAACAGGAUGGCGCAAGAUAGUAUCGACGAUCUUCUAACUCAGACAAUGAGUUUGAGCUUAGAGGUUAUCUCGAACCAGCACGUGAUCAGAGAAAAAGCCCAUGUCCUAAGGAAUGAGAUCCUCAAGGCGGUCCAAGAUGCAACGGCUGCAAAGGCCCAGCUCUCAGCCGCCAAUGAUCAGAUAUUUGAAAUGCAAUAGUAGGAACUAAAUUAAAUUACAACAGUUUAUGCAGUUAGAAAAAAAAAAAAAUUGCAUGAAACAGCAAAGGGCAUAUGGCAUUUCUUUUCUAGCAAGCAAGGGAUUUGAAGUAAAAUCAAGAUGCACAUUCUCAUAUUUUAAUAAAUAAUUUUUAAAAAUGAGCAUGGAAACAGAUAGUGAGUAGUUUGACCAUGACAAAUACUCGUUGCUGAACAAUGCUAACCUUCUUUAAAGGGAAAAUUAAUCAAACUAAAGAUAACAAUGCAAGACAUCAACAAUAAACAGUCACAUUUGAGAUGAUAGGAGACAACAAAAUGACUAGCCUUUGUAUCCAUUCGUCAGCUUGUAAUGGUAGCAAAACACCAUGUAGGGUACAUAAACACUUGCUUUU
RNAcentral lists this unclassified non-coding RNA (944 nucleotides) under Hevea brasiliensis (rubber tree). The record is from RNAcentral. Lineage: Eukaryota; Viridiplantae; Streptophyta; Magnoliopsida; Malpighiales; Euphorbiaceae.